Long non-coding RNA from Harmonia axyridis, 646 nucleotides. RefSeq lists it as uncharacterized. The record is from RefSeq and is a predicted model, not a curated record. The transcript has 3 exons. NCBI's taxonomy places the organism in Eukaryota, Metazoa, Arthropoda, Insecta, Coleoptera, Coccinellidae.
UUCAUCACCAUUUUUUUUAAAUUGAUCCAAAUUAUGAAAUACAAUCGUGAUAAAUCAAUAAUGAGGUCAAUGUUCACCUAAUAAUCGACAAUAAUAUUACUAUUAAUAUUCAUGAUCUUACUACCUUUCUGUUCUGCACUUUUUUCAUUCUUACUUUUUCGAUUGAAUAAUUUACCUAUAACAGAAGAGUUGCUUCCUACUAGGCUUGUUAUGUUUAUUGUUUUUUCGUAAACACAUAUGGAGGAAUUUAUAUUAUGAGAAUAUGGCACUUUUGUAUUUCACUUAGUUAGUGCUAGAAAGAUUUAUUUUCUUUCUAAUCAUAAACGUGAAUUUUAUUGUUUAUUUUAUUCAAUUAGUUUUGUAGUUGGUUUCAGUGAUGAACAAAUAUUAUUAGCUCCAGAAAGCGAAAAAGGUAUCCAGGCUAUCAAAGAAAGUCGAAAGGUUAGCGUACUUAACCUUCAAGUGCUAUCAGUGAAACAACGGCCACCCACGCCUGAAAUUAGUUCUAAUCGCCUCAUCUACGCUGGAUUACUCCAAGAGCUAUGGCAUGUAUGCCAAUUUGUUCAACAGCUAUAUUGUCCUAGACAAGACGGUAUGUAUCAAGUUAACCAAGCGAGAUCCUUAGAUGAAACAAAUAAUUGGGUAA